GACGAACGCUGGCGGCGUGCUUAACACAUGCAAGUCGAACGGUGAAGCGCCUUCCUUUUUGGUGGGUGUGGAUGAGUGGCGAACGGGUGAGUAACACGUGAGCAACCCGCUCCCUCCUUCUGGAUAACCGCAUGAAAGUGUGGCUAAUACGGGAUAUUUUGGGUCUGUCGCAUGAUGGGUGUGGGAAAGACAUUGUUUCGGUGGGGGAUGGGCUCGCGGCCUAUCAGCUUGUUGGUGGGGUGAUGGCCUACCAAGGCGGUGACGAGUAGCCGGCCUGAGAGGGUCGGCCACCACGCAGGUGCGGAAAGGCGGAGCAGACUACUGCGGGAAGCAGUAGUGAAGAAUACGGCACGGUGGACGCAAGGCUGGAGCAGCGACGCGGCAUUGAUGAUGGAGUCCGGCGGGUUAUGAACCUCUUUCGCGAGAGAAGCAGUCCGGCCUCAUUUGUGGAUAGGUUGACGGUAGCUGGAUAAGAAGCGCCGGCUAACUACGUG
RNAcentral lists this ribosomal RNA (494 nucleotides) under uncultured bacterium. Its description in RNAcentral is "partial 16S ribosomal RNA". It matches the Rfam family "Bacterial small subunit ribosomal RNA", at positions 28 to 507 of the family's 1533-position model. The record is from RNAcentral.